AUCCAUCAUCUUCGCAAAAAAAAAAAAAAAAAAAAAAUCCUUACAAACUCUGAACCAUAUCCAUGUGUUGUAAUAGAAGUUAUUUUGAAAAAGCAUAUCCAUUUUGAAAAAGACAAAGGAGUAAGUAUUGGUCGGACCACUUAUCUUACAUAUAUUUAAGUCAUUGUUCUCUCACACGACUACAUAAUAUUUCCACCACACAUACAAAUACAAACUUAUCUCAUACAAAUUCAUUAUAAACAUAAAAUCAGUGGCAUGUCUGGUCAGUGCAAGUAAGAUUACAAGAAAAAAUGGAUAAACGAUGGAGUCUUCAAGGUAUGACUGCUCUUGUGNNN
This 335-nucleotide long non-coding RNA is filed under the name Capsella grandiflora. RNAcentral's name for it is "long non-coding RNA (CGRA_LNC000732)". Lineage: Eukaryota; Viridiplantae; Streptophyta; Magnoliopsida; Brassicales; Brassicaceae. The record is from RNAcentral.